GACAGGAGGCUGACAGAGGCUGACAGAGGACACUUGGGUACUUUAUCUCCCAAGUUAAAUAUGCAUCUGGAGCUCACCUGUGUGCUAAAGGCCUCCAUUCCUCUCUCCGGGCUGAGACAGACCAGGUCAUCCCAGAGACCAGCUGAAUGUCACCAAUGAUGCCAAUCAAAGCACAGGGAAAAGAAGUACCUGAAUUCCUGAUCCACAAAAUUAUGAGAUAUAAUAAUAUAGUAGCUGUUUUGCAGUGGUGGUUUACACAGCAGAAGAGAACAUGUAUAGGCAUGUAGGUGCCUGAGAUGGACCACUUCAGUUUUUAAGGCUCCUGGACUUUUGGCAUGCACUCACAGAUGGAAAGCUGUUCUAUCUAGCCCAAUUCAACGCAUUCAAGCAUAGGGAAAAACAUGCUGCUUUCCCCAAAUAGCUCUUAAUUUGAGACUUGAUACCAUUUCUGCAAGACAAACACUGGUGUGCUGUCCUGUGGAGCAAGUCUUCUCAACUGAUUACACACUGUUAACAAAGUA
Molecule: long non-coding RNA, 521 nt
Organism: Felis catus (domestic cat)
Lineage: Eukaryota; Metazoa; Chordata; Mammalia; Carnivora; Felidae
Exons: 2
Source: RefSeq, a predicted model, not a curated record